CGGACGGAGAGGAUCCCCCAUUGUCGCCGAUGUCUAUUUAACAUGGGCGGUAGAGGAGCCGAAUCUUAGUGAGAUUCCGAGUCCGCUGAUCAUCUGUCACUGCUGAGACUGAACUCAAAAACGAGACAAGAACACAUGUUAGGAGGAGACAGAAGGAAGUUGCUCGUUUCGCCAUAUUUUUCUUUUAGAAUGAGUUGAAAGGCAUGACCUUGAAACAAUGAGAUGGUCAAGACAAUGUACAAGAAGACGAAGAAAUCAAUUCUUUGAGGUGACAUUCCUCUACUGCAUUUGUGAUUAGAUUUGCAGACGGAGGUAAUUCUUGGCUGAUAUUGCUGCCUGUAACCGUCACCGUGAAAGACUUCUUCUCGUUCACCAUCU
Long non-coding RNA from Capsella rubella, 378 nucleotides. RefSeq lists it as uncharacterized. The record is from RefSeq and is a predicted model, not a curated record. Lineage: Eukaryota; Viridiplantae; Streptophyta; Magnoliopsida; Brassicales; Brassicaceae. The transcript has 4 exons.